UACGUAGGGUGCAAGCGUUAAUCGGAAUUACUGGGCGUAAAGCGUGCGCAGGCGGUUUUGCAAGACAGAUGUGAAAUCCCCGGGCUCAACCUGGGAAUUGCAUUUGUGACUGCACGGCUAGAGUGUGUCAGAGGGGGGUAGAAUUCCACGUGUAGCAGUGAAAUGCGUAGAUAUGUGGAGGAAUACCGAUGGCGAAGGCAGCCCCCUGGGAUAACACUGACGCUCAUGCACGAAAGCGUGGGGAGCAAACAGG
Molecule: ribosomal RNA, 253 nt
Filed under: uncultured bacterium
Lineage: Bacteria
Description: partial 16S ribosomal RNA
Rfam family: Bacterial small subunit ribosomal RNA
Source: RNAcentral